GAGUAAUGUCUGGGAAACUGCCUGAUGGAGGGGGAUAACUACUGGAAACGGUGGCUAAUACCGCAUAACGUCGCAAGACCAAAGAGGGGGACCUUCGGGCCUCUUGCCAUCAGAUGUGCCCAGAUGGGAUUAGCUAGUUGGUGAGGUAACGGCUCACCAAGGCGACGAUCCCUAGCUGGUCUGAGAGGAUGACCAGCCACACUGGAACUGAGACACGGUCCAGACUCCUACGGGAGGCAGCAGUGGGGAAUAUUGCACAAUGGGCGCAAGCCUGAUGCAGCCAUGCCGCGUGUAUGAAGAAGGCCUUCGGGUUGUAAAGUACUUUCAGCGGGGAGGAAGGUGUUGUGGUUAAUAACCGCAGCAAUUGACGUUACCCGCAGAAGAAGCACCGGCUAACUCCGUGCCAGCAGCCGCGGUAAUACGGAGGGUGC
RNAcentral lists this ribosomal RNA (431 nucleotides) under Salmonella enterica. Its description in RNAcentral is "bacterial SSU rRNA". It matches the Rfam family "Bacterial small subunit ribosomal RNA", at positions 108 to 535 of the family's 1533-position model. The record is from RNAcentral. Lineage: Bacteria; Pseudomonadati; Pseudomonadota; Gammaproteobacteria; Enterobacterales; Enterobacteriaceae.